Molecule: ribosomal RNA, 301 nt
Filed under: uncultured bacterium
Lineage: Bacteria
Description: partial 16S ribosomal RNA
Rfam family: Bacterial small subunit ribosomal RNA
Source: RNAcentral
CAGCAGCCGCGGUAAAACGAAGAGGGCUAGCGUUGCUCGGAAUCACUGGGCGUAAAGGGUGCGUAGGCGGGUCUUUAAGUCAGAGGUGAAAUCCUGGAGCUCAACUCCAGAACUGCCUUUGAUACUGAGGAUCUUGAGUUCGGGAGAGGUGAGUGGAACUGCGAGUGUAGAGGUGAAAUUCGUAGAUAUUCGCAAGAACACCAGUGGCGAAGGCGGCUCACUGGCCCGAUACUGACGCUGAUGCACGAAAGCUAGGGGAGCAAACAGGAUUAGAUACCCGCGUAGUCCCUGUCUCUUAUAC